RNAcentral lists this transfer RNA (73 nucleotides) under Stegodyphus mimosarum. It matches the Rfam family "tRNA". From Rfam's summary of the family: Transfer RNA (tRNA) molecules are approximately 80 nucleotides in length. The record is from Rfam by way of RNAcentral. Lineage: Eukaryota; Metazoa; Arthropoda; Arachnida; Araneae; Eresidae.
GCCUUCGUGGUGUAGUGAUCAGCACGUUGGGCGCGUAUUCCAGAGGCCCGUGGUUAGAUUCCCGCCGAAGACG